Molecule: ribosomal RNA, 232 nt
Filed under: uncultured bacterium
Lineage: Bacteria
Description: partial 16S ribosomal RNA
Rfam family: Bacterial small subunit ribosomal RNA
Source: RNAcentral
UGAGGAACAUGACCUUCGGCGGGGGAUAGCCGGCCCAACGGCCGGGUAAUACCGCGUACGACCACAUGGGGGACAUCCCUGAGUGGUGAAAGCAGCAAUGCGCCGAUGGAGUGCCUCGCGGCCUAUCAGCUAGUUGGUGAGGUAACGGCUCACAAGGCGACGACGGGUAGCUGGUCUGGAGAGGAUGGCCAGCCACAGUUGGGACUGAGACACCGGCCANACCUNACGGGAG